This 251-nucleotide ribosomal RNA is filed under the name uncultured prokaryote. RNAcentral describes it as "partial 16S rRNA". It matches the Rfam family "Bacterial small subunit ribosomal RNA", at positions 525 to 775 of the family's 1533-position model. The record is from RNAcentral.
ACGGGGGGUGCAAGCGUUGUUCGGAAUCAUUGGGCGUAAAGCGCGCGCAGGCGGCUUGGUAAGUCAGAUGUGAAAUCCCUGGGCUUAACCCAGGAAGUGCAUUUGAUACUGCCUCGCUAGAGUACGGGAGAGGAAAGUGGAAUUCCUGGUGGUGGGGUUUCUUUCGCAAGUAUCACGCGCAACGCCGAUGGCGUAGGCGUCAAACUGGCUUGUUACUGACGCUCAGCCGCGUGAGUGUGGGGUGCGGUCAG